ACGCUGGCGGCGUGCUUAACACAUGCAAGUCGAACGGAAAGGCCCUCACCUUGGUGGGGGUGCUCGAGUGGCGAACGGGUGAGUAACACGUGGGUGAUCUGCCCUGUACUUCGGGAUAAGCUUGGGAAACUGGGUCUAAUACCGGAUAGGACCAUGGUUUAGUGUCUCAUGGUGGAAAAAUUAUUGUUUUGGUGCAGGAUGAGCUCGCGGCCUAUCAGCUUGUUGGUGGGGUAAUGGCCUACCAAGGCGUCGACGGGUAGCCGGCCUGAGAGGGUGGACGGCCACAUUGGGACUGAGAUACGGCCCAGACUCCUACGGGAGGCAGCAGUGGGGAAUAUUGCACAAUGGGCGCAAGCCUGAUGCAGCGACGCCGCGUGGGGGAUGACGGCCUUCGGGUUGUAAACUCCUUUCGUUAGGGACGAAGCCACACUUUUUUUGGGUGUGGUGACGGUACCUUUGUUAAGAAGCACCGGCUAACUACGUGCCAGCAGCCGCGGUAAUACGUAGGGUGCGAGCGUUGUCCGGAAUUACUGGGCGUAAAGAGCUCGUAGGUGGUUUGUUGCGUCGUCUGUGAAAUUCCGGGGCUUAACUUCGGGGUGGCAGGCGAUACGGGCAUAACUAGAGUGCUGUAGGGGAGACUGGAAUUCCUGGUGUAGCGGUGGAAUGCGCAGAUAUCAGGAGGAACACCGAUGGCGAAGGCAGGUCUCUGGGCAGUAACUGACGCUGAGGAGCGAAAGCAUGGGGAGCGAACAGGAUUAGAUACCCUGGUAGUCCAUGCUGUAAACGGUGGGCGUUAGGUGUGGGGACCGGUUUGGUUUCUGUGCCGUAGCUAACGCAUUAAGCGCCCCGCCUGGGGAGUACGGCCGCAAGGCUAAAACUCAAAGGAAUUGACGGGGGCCCGCACAAGCGGCGGAGCAUGUGGAUUAAUUCGAUGCAACGCGAAGAACCUUACCUGGGUUUGACAUGCACCAGACGGUUGUAGAGAUACGUACCUCCCUUUGUGGUUGGUGUGCAGGUGGUGCAUGGUUGUCGUCAGCUCGUGUCGUGAGAUGUUGGGUUAAGUCCAGCAACGAGCGCAACCCUUGUCUUAUGUUGCCAGCACGUUUGGGUGGGGACUCAUGAGAGACUGCCGGGGUUAACUCGGAGGAAGGUGGGGAUGACGUCAAAUCAUCAUGCCCUUUAUGCCCAGGGCUUCACACAUGCUACAAUGGUUAGUACAACGCGCGGCGAGCCUGUGAGGGUGAGCGAAUCACUGAAAGCUAAUCUCAGUUCGGAUUGGGGUCUGCAACUCGACCCCAUGAAGUCGGAGUCGCUAGUAAUCGCAGAUCAGCAAUGCUGCGGUGAAUACGUUCCCGGGCCU
Molecule: ribosomal RNA, 1360 nt
Filed under: uncultured bacterium
Lineage: Bacteria
Description: 16S ribosomal RNA
Rfam family: Bacterial small subunit ribosomal RNA
Source: RNAcentral